AGGGACUCUGACCCAGCGACGCCGCGUGCGGGAUGAAGGCCUUCGGGUUGUAAACCGCUUUCAGCAGGGAAGAAGCGAAAGUGACGGUACCUGCAGAAGAAGCACCGGCUAACUAUGUGCCAGCAGCCGCGGUAAUACAUAGGGUGCAAGCGUUGUCCGGAAUUAUUGGGCGUAAAGAGCUCGUAGGUGGUUCGUCACGUCGGAUGUGAAAAUCUGGGGCUUAACCCCAGACCUGCAUUCGAUACGGGCGAGCUUGAGUAUGGUAGGGGAGUCUGGAAUUCCUGGUGUAGCGGUGGAAUGCGCAGAUAUCAGGAGGAACACCAAUGGCGAAGGCAGGACUCUGGGCCAUUACUGACACUGAGGAGCGAAAGCGUGGGGAGCGAACAGGAUUAGAUACCCUGGUAGUCCACGCCGUAAACGGUGGGCACUAGUUGUGGGGACCUUCCACGGUCUCUGCGACGCAGCUAACGCAUUAAGUGCCCCGCCUGGGGAGUACGAUCGCAAGAUUAAAACUCAAAGGAAUUGACGGGGCCCCGCACAAGCAGCGGAGCAUGCGGCUUAAUUCGACGCAACGCGAAGAACCUUACCAAGGCUUGACAUAUACAGGAAUAUGGCAGAGAUGUCAUAGCCGCAAGGUCUGUAUACAGGUGGUGCAUGGUUGUCGUCAGCUCGUGUCGUGAGAUGUUGGGUUAAGUCCCGCAACGAGCGCAACCCCCGUUCUGUGUUGCCAGCAUUAAGUUGGGGACUCACAGGAGACUGCCGGGGUUAACUCGGAGGAAGGUGGGGAUGACGUCAAAUCCUCAUGCCCCUUAUAGGUAGGGCUACACACGUCUACAAUGGAUGGUACAGAGGGUCGUCAAUCUCGCGA
This 868-nucleotide ribosomal RNA is filed under the name uncultured Actinomycetes bacterium. Its description in RNAcentral is "bacterial SSU rRNA". It matches the Rfam family "Bacterial small subunit ribosomal RNA", at positions 375 to 1260 of the family's 1533-position model. The record is from RNAcentral. Lineage: Bacteria; Bacillati; Actinomycetota; Actinomycetes.